UAGACCAUCUCGGAGUAAGGAUGAUAAUAUGGAUACAAUUCCAAAGUUAUGGGAUAGGCCUCAUUCAAACCAUUUUUCAACAUUAUGCUUAGUGGAUGUGAUGAGAGUCCAUCCACCUAAGCCAAUGAUAGAUUUUAGGGAAAAGGAGCACCAUCCCUACAAUUUUGAAUUUGACGUUCCAAAAGAGCAUAUGUGAACCCCAC
This 203-nucleotide long non-coding RNA is filed under the name Capsicum annuum. Its description in RNAcentral is "long non-coding RNA (CANN_LNC000952)". Lineage: Eukaryota; Viridiplantae; Streptophyta; Magnoliopsida; Solanales; Solanaceae. The record is from RNAcentral.